UGCCACCUGUUUAGGACCACCUCCA
RNAcentral lists this non-coding RNA (25 nucleotides) under Rattus norvegicus (Norway rat). Lineage: Eukaryota; Metazoa; Chordata; Mammalia; Rodentia; Muridae. The record is from RNAcentral.